AGCGAGCGCUGGCGGCAGGCCUAACACAUGCAAGUCGAACGAACUCUUCGGAGUUAGUGGCGGACGGGUGAGUAACACGUGGGAACGUGCCUUUUGGUUCGGAAUAACUCAGGGAAACUUGUGCUAAUACCGAAUGUGCCCUUCGGGGGAAAGAUUUAUCGCCAUUAGAGCGGCCCGCGUCUGAUUAGCUAGUUGGUGAGGUAACGGCUCACCAAGGCGACGAUCAGUAGCUGGUCUGAGAGGAUGACCAGCCACACUGGGACUGAGACACGGCCCAGGCUCCUACGGGAGGCAGCAGUGGGGAAUCUUGCGCAAUGGGCGAAAGCCUGACGCAGCCAUGCCGCGUGAAUGAUGAAGGUCUUAGGAUUGUAAAAUUCUUUCACCGGGGACGAUAAUGACGGUACCCGGAGAAGAAGCCCCGGCUAACUUCGUG
RNAcentral lists this ribosomal RNA (433 nucleotides) under uncultured bacterium. RNAcentral's name for it is "partial 16S ribosomal RNA". It matches the Rfam family "Bacterial small subunit ribosomal RNA", at positions 29 to 507 of the family's 1533-position model. The record is from RNAcentral.